Molecule: ribosomal RNA, 253 nt
Filed under: uncultured bacterium
Lineage: Bacteria
Description: partial 16S ribosomal RNA
Rfam family: Bacterial small subunit ribosomal RNA
Source: RNAcentral
UACAGAGGGUGCGAGCGUUAAUCGGAAUUACUGGGCGUAAAGCGCGCGUAGACGGUUUUGUAAGUCAGAUGUGAAAUCCCCGGGCUCAACCUGGGAACUGCAUUUGAGACUGCAUGGCUAGAGUAUGGAAGAGGGAAGUGGAAUUUCCGGUGUAGCGGUGAAAUGCGUAGAUAUCGGAAGGAACACCAGUGGCGAAAGCGACUUCCUGGUCCAAUACUGACGCUCAUGCACGAAAGCGUGGGGAGCAAACAGG